Molecule: ribosomal RNA, 424 nt
Filed under: uncultured bacterium
Lineage: Bacteria
Description: bacterial SSU rRNA
Rfam family: Bacterial small subunit ribosomal RNA
Source: RNAcentral
GGGAAUUGUUCGCAAUGGGCGCAAGCCUGACGACGCAACGCCGCGUGGAGGAUGAAGACUUUCGGGUCGUAAACCCCUUUCGACCGAGAUGAAUUCCCGCCGACCUAACACGUCGGCGGGGUGACAGUAUCGAGGGAAGAAGCCCCGGCUAACUCCGUGCCCGCAGCCGCGGUAAUACGUAGGGGGCGAGCGUUGUCCGGAUUUAUUGGGCGUAAAGAGCUCGUAGGCGGCUUGGCAAGUCGGGUGUGAAACCUCCAGGCUCAACCUGGAGACGCCACUCGAUACUGCUAUGGCUAGAGUCCGGUAGGGGACCACGGAAUUCCUGGUGUAGCGGUGAAAUGCGCAGAUAUCAGGAGGAACACCGGUGGCGAAGGCGGUGGUCUGGGCCGGCACUGACGCUGAGGAGCGAAAGCGUGGGUAGCAA